RNAcentral lists this ribosomal RNA (761 nucleotides) under uncultured Alphaproteobacteria bacterium. RNAcentral's name for it is "bacterial SSU rRNA". It matches the Rfam family "Bacterial small subunit ribosomal RNA", at positions 54 to 863 of the family's 1533-position model. Lineage: Bacteria; Pseudomonadati; Pseudomonadota; Alphaproteobacteria. The record is from RNAcentral.
CAUGCAAGUCGAACGAAGUAGCAAUACUUAGUGGCAGACGGGUGAGUAACAUGUGGGUAUCUACCCUUUGGCCUGGAAUAACACGAGGAAACUUGUGCUAAUACCGGAUAAGUCUUUACGGAGAAAGCUUUAUGCACCAUUGGAUGAGCCCGCACUUGAUUAGUUUGUUGGUAGGGUAAUGGCCUACCAAGACUAUGAUCAAUAGCUGAUUUGAGAGGAUGAUCAGCCACAUUGGGACUGAGACACGGCCCAAACUCCUACGGGAGGCAGCAGUGGGGAAUCUUGCACAAUGGAGGAAACUCUGAUGCAGCGAUGCCGCGUGAGUGAAGAAGGCCCUUGGGUUGUAAAGCUCUUUCGUCGGGGAAGAAAAUGACUGUACCCGAAUAAGAAGGUCCGGCUAACUUCGUGCCAGCAGCCGCGGUAAUACGAAGGGACCUAGCGUAGUUCGGAAUUACUGGGCUUAAAGAGUUCGUAGGUGGUUGAAAAAGUUGGUGGUGAAAUCCCAGAGCUUAACUCUGGAACUGCCAUCAAAACUUUUCAGCUAGAGUAUGAUAGAGGAAAGCAGAAUUUCUAGUGUAGAGGUGAAAUUCGUAGAUAUUAGAAAGAAUACCAAUUGCGAAGGCAGCUUUCUGGAUCAUUACUGACACUGAGGAACGAAAGCAUGGGUAGCGAAGAGGAUUAGAUACCCUCGUAGUCCAUGCCGUAAACGAUGUGUGUUAGACGUUGGAAAUUUAUUUUCAGUGUCGCAGGGAAACCGAUAA